This 1690-nucleotide long non-coding RNA is filed under the name Mus musculus (house mouse). RNAcentral describes it as "predicted gene, 29719". Lineage: Eukaryota; Metazoa; Chordata; Mammalia; Rodentia; Muridae. The record is from RNAcentral.
GCUGGAGAUUACUAGCGCUUCACAGAAAUUAUCUGCUCAGCAGCCAUGCAUCAUUUAUAACAAUCUCUGGCAAAACCUCAGAAAAAGAUACGCGCUUGUCUCAUCUGGCAGAGCCCAGUGAAAACACUCUUCGGGUGGAAGCGACUCCAGCCGUGGGGCAGCCUCGUGGGGUUUGCUUCUCUGAAGGAGUAUGACCCAGUUAGGAAGGAAGGAAGAGCCACACGUCAAACACAGUCACCAGUGAAACCAGAGAGGGGCUGGACUCCGGCUUCUCCACAGGACAGUGGACCCCUUCUAUCGGAAAUGGCCCACGAAGUGGACCUGGAGUCCUUCAAGGAGUUGGAACGGGACAUCAUUCUCCGUGUCCUAUAUCGUGAUCAAACUGUUCAAAGCACCGAGGAGGAAAGGGUCCGGAAACUGAAAUCACACCUGCAGCAUCUUCGGUGGAAGGGGGCGAAGAGCUCUAGCCAGGAAUACAAGGAAAAGUGCUGUGCACGUUGCCAGCGGGCUCUGGGCCUUCUGCUGAACCGUGGGGCCGUGUGUCAGGGCUGCAGCCACCGCGUGUGUUCCGAGUGCCGUGUGUUCCUGCGGAGGACUCGUGCAUGGAAGUGCACGGUUUGCUUUGAGGACAGAAACGUGAAAAUCAAAACCGGAGAAUGGUUCUUUGAAGAACGAGCCAGGAAAUUUCCAACUGCAGCAAAAUCUCUGUGGUCCCUCCGACACCACCACCUUUCAGUGAGAGCCAGUGCAGCAGCUCCAGCAGGUUACAGGAACUUGGCCACUUCAGAGGAUUUAAUAAGUCUGUGGAAAACUUGUUUCUGUCUGUCACCACCCAGAUGAGAAAGCUCUCCAAGUCCCAGAAUGACAUGACCUCUGAGAAGCAUCUUCUGGCCAUGGACCCCAGGCAGUGUGUGGGCCACACGGAGAGGCGGAGCCAGUCAGACACUGCAGUCAACGUGACUUCCAGGAAGGCCAGCACACCCGAUAUUCUGAAAGCGUUCCAUCAAGAAGAUCCUAAACACCCUCCCGACCCUGUUUUGAAGCAAGACACUCCCCCGUCCAGUCCGACACACAGCGCUGUCUUCUCUGGAGGCUUGAGACACGGAGCAUCAACAGCACCUGCACAGAGAUGGGUAAUUUUGACAAUGCUAAUGUCACUGGAGAAAUAGAAUUUGCCAUUCAUUACUGCGUUAAAAGCUGCUCUUUAGAGAUAUGCAUCAAGACCUGUAAGAACCUUGCCUAUGGAGAAGAAAAGAAAAGAAAGUGCAAUCCAUGAGAUCUAUGGGAACAGCUUAAUUUCUACUGUGAUUGACAGCUGCAACUGCUCAGACUCCAGUGAUAUCGAACUGAGUGAUGAUUGGGCUGCCAAGAAGUCUCCCAAAAUCUCCAGAUCUAGCAAAUCGCCCAAACUCCCAAGGAUCAGCAUUGAGGCCCGAAAGUCACCCAAGCUUCCACGGGCUGCUCAAGAGAUUUCUCGGUCUCCCCGAUUGCCCAUGCGCAAGCCCUCCAUGGGCUCGCCCAGCCUGACACGGAGAGAGGUUCCUUUUGAAGACAUCACUCAGCACAACUAUCUUGCUCAGGUCACAUCCAAUAUCUGGGGAACCAAGUUUAAGAUUGUGGGCUUGGCUGCAUUCCUACCAACCAACCUCGGUGCAGGUAAAGACUCGCUCUAUUUUCUCACCGUCCCAUU